This 477-nucleotide long non-coding RNA is filed under the name Anas platyrhynchos platyrhynchos (common mallard). RNAcentral describes it as "lncRNA (ENSAPLG00000029439.1)". Lineage: Eukaryota; Metazoa; Chordata; Aves; Anseriformes; Anatidae. The record is from RNAcentral.
AUGGCCCCGGAGCCACCCGGACUACAUGAAGAGCAUGUAGGAGGAGAGAUGGGACAGGAGCUCUCCUCUCCUGUGCAUCUGCAAGGCCUGGGACUGCUCCUCCAUGUUCUGCCUGGGCCUAGCAUGCGGCACUGUGUGGAAGUCAGAAUCCCUUGUGUACUUCCAAGGAAAUCUGUGGGAGAGGGUGGAUGUGGACCCAGUGGCUUAAUCCCCUUGCCACCACUCUGUGGAGCUUGUGAGAGGAUGACGAGAGGACAGAGGCAUCUGAGCCUCGGACGGACAGCGUCCCUCCGCUGCCUGAAGCACCUCUGCCUCCGGGAAAGGAAGGGGAAUGAGCCUGAAUCCCUCUUUGACUUGAAACCCACCCUUCAGAGACAACCAGCAGCUUCCAGACCAGCCUUUCAUCAUUCGUUGUCCUUCCUAAUGAGAACGACAUUAGACUUUUACCUCAACCCGACUGCAAUGAUUUCACAGUAG